This 500-nucleotide ribosomal RNA is filed under the name uncultured bacterium. RNAcentral's name for it is "bacterial SSU rRNA". It matches the Rfam family "Bacterial small subunit ribosomal RNA", at positions 396 to 911 of the family's 1533-position model. The record is from RNAcentral.
GCCGCGUGCGGGAUGAAGGCCCUCGGGUUGUAAACCGCUUUCAGCAGGGAUGAAAUUGACAGUACCUGCAGAAGAAGCCCCGGCUAACUACGUGCCAGCAGCCGCGGUAAUACGUAGGGGGCAAGCGUUAUCCGGAUUCAUUGGGCGUAAAGAGCGCGUAGGCGGAUUGUUAAGUCGGAUGUGAAAACCGGGGGCUCAACCCGCGGCCUGCAUCUGAAACUGGCAGUCUUGAGUCUGGUAGAGGAAAGUGGAAUUCCUGGUGUAGCGGUGAAAUGCGCAGAUAUCAGGAGGAACACCAGUGGCGAAGGCGGCUUUCUGGGCCACGACUGACGCUGAGGCGCGAAAGCUAGGGGAGCAAACAGGAUUAGAUACCCUGGUAGUCCUAGCCGUAAACGAUGGGCACUAGGUGUGGGGGGUCAUCGACUCCCUCCGUGCCGAAGCUAACGCAUUAAGUGCCCCGCCUGGGGAGUACGGCCGCAAGGCUAAAACUCAAAGGAAUU